Molecule: ribosomal RNA, 253 nt
Filed under: uncultured bacterium
Lineage: Bacteria
Description: partial 16S ribosomal RNA
Rfam family: Bacterial small subunit ribosomal RNA
Source: RNAcentral
UACAGAGGGGGCAAGCGUUGUUCGGAAUUACUGGGCGUAAAGGGCGCGUAGGCGGCCGCCUAAGUCAGACGUGAAAUCCCUCGGCUCAACCGGGGAACUGCGUCUGAUACUGGAUGGCUGGAGUUCGGGAGAGGGAUGCGGAAUUCCAGGUGUAGCGGUGAAAUGCGUAGAUAUCUGGAGGAACACCGGUGGCGAAGGCGGCAUCCUGGACCGACACUGACGCUGAGGAGCGAAAGCCAGGGGAGCAAACGGG